This 468-nucleotide ribosomal RNA is filed under the name uncultured bacterium. Its description in RNAcentral is "partial 16S ribosomal RNA". It matches the Rfam family "Bacterial small subunit ribosomal RNA", at positions 28 to 507 of the family's 1533-position model. The record is from RNAcentral.
GACGAACGCCGGCGGCGUGCUUAACACAUGCAAGUCGAACGGAAAGGCCCUGCUUUUGUGGGGUGCUCGAGUGGCGAACGGGUGAGUAACACGUGAGUAACCUGCCCUUGACUUUGGGAUAACUUCAGGAAACUGGGGCUAAUACCGGAUAGGAGCUCCUGCUGCAUGGUGGGGGUUGGAAAGUUUCGGCGGUUGGGGAUGGACUCGCGGCUUAUCAGCUUGUUGGUGGGGUAGUGGCUUACCAAGGCUUUGACGGGUAGCCGGCCUGAGAGGGUGACCGGGCACAAUGGGGCUGGGGAUAGGCCCCGGAUUCCACCGGGAGGAAGAGGUGGGAAAUAUGGCACAAGGGGCGAAGCCCGGAUGCAGCAACGCCGGGGGGGGAUGACGGCCUUCGGGUUGUAAACCGCUUUCGCCUGUGACGAAGCGUGAGUGACGGUAAUGGGUAAAGAAGCACCGGCUAACUACGUG